UCUCCGUUGGUGAACCGGCGGAGGGAUCAUUAUCGAGAUUACAGCUCUCAGACACCUGUGCACAAACCAUUUGUCGUCUCAGCUGUGCCUUCUUCGGCAGCCCGCCAGAGAACCCAAACCCUUCAUUUUAUACAGUUUCUUCUGGAUAAAUAAUUAAAUAAAUCAAAACUCUCAACAACGGAUCUCUUGGUUCUG
Molecule: unclassified non-coding RNA, 195 nt
Filed under: plant metagenome
Description: partial contains small subunit ribosomal RNA, internal transcribed spacer 1, and 5.8S ribosomal RNA
Source: RNAcentral